UACGUAGGGUGCAAGCGUUGUCCGGAAUUAUUGGGCGUAAAGAGCUUGUAGGCGGUUUGUCGCGUCUGCUGUGAAAUUUCGGGGCUCAACCCCGAACUUGCAGUGGGUACGGGCAGACUAGAGUGUGGUAGGGGAGACUGGAAUUCCUGGUGUAGCGGUGAAAUGCGCAGAUAUCAGGAGGAACACCGAUGGCGAAGGCGGAUCUCUGGGCCUUGCCUGACGCUGAGGCGCGAAAGCUAGGGGGAGCGAACAGG
This 254-nucleotide ribosomal RNA is filed under the name uncultured bacterium. RNAcentral describes it as "partial 16S ribosomal RNA". It matches the Rfam family "Bacterial small subunit ribosomal RNA", at positions 524 to 776 of the family's 1533-position model. The record is from RNAcentral.